CCUACGGGAGGCAGCAGUGAGGAAUAUUGGUCAAUGGGCUUACGCCUGAACCAGCCAAGUCGCGUGAGGGAAGACUGCCCUAUGGGUUGUAAACCUCUUUUGGCAGGGAGCAACGCCGGCUACGUGUAGCCGGACUGAGAGUACCUGAAGAAAAAGCAUCGGCUAACUCCGUGCCAGCAGCCGCGGUAAUACGGAGGAUGCGAGGGUUAUCCGGAUUUAUUGGUUUUACAGGGUGCGUAGGCGGAAUGCCAAGUCAGCGGUAAAAUCGCGGGGCUCAAUCUCGCUCCGCCGUUGAAACUGGGGUUCUUGAGUGGGGGAGAAGUAUGCGCAAUGCGUGGUGUAGCGGUGAAAUGCAUAGAUAUCACGCAGAACUCCGAUUGCGAAGGCAGCAUACCGGCGCCCAACUGACGCUGAAGCACGAAAGCGUGGGUAGCGAACAGGAUUAGAUACCCGUGUAGUC
This 460-nucleotide ribosomal RNA is filed under the name uncultured bacterium. RNAcentral's name for it is "partial 16S ribosomal RNA". It matches the Rfam family "Bacterial small subunit ribosomal RNA", at positions 338 to 795 of the family's 1533-position model. The record is from RNAcentral.